ACCCCGGCCCUUUUCAGGGCCACCCAAAUGUCUAAGAAAGAGCUGU
This is a non-coding RNA of Branchiostoma floridae (Florida lancelet), 46 nucleotides long. The record is from Rfam. Lineage: Eukaryota; Metazoa; Chordata; Leptocardii; Amphioxiformes; Branchiostomatidae.